AUAGACGAGGUUCUUGUAACCGUCGGAUGUGGUCCCAUAUUUUAUGGUGUUAAAUCAUCGGGCCAUAAUCACAUAGUGGGUCAUUAAUUUUCCAAUUAUGAUGUCGUGAUGUACGGCUGGUAACCGUUCAUUACGGGUAUGACAUAUUAAGUAGAUUAGCCGACUGUAUGUCGGUAGUAGGCACAGCCAUUAGUUGAUGAUUCUACUGUAUUAUCGGUCACCAACUAUAAGUCGGUCACAUUUGUUCAAUCAGUU
This 255-nucleotide long non-coding RNA is filed under the name Elaeis guineensis (African oil palm). RNAcentral's name for it is "long non-coding RNA (EGUI_LNC063711)". Lineage: Eukaryota; Viridiplantae; Streptophyta; Magnoliopsida; Arecales; Arecaceae. The record is from RNAcentral.